Molecule: ribosomal RNA, 484 nt
Filed under: uncultured bacterium
Lineage: Bacteria
Description: partial 16S ribosomal RNA
Rfam family: Bacterial small subunit ribosomal RNA
Source: RNAcentral
GAUGAACGCUGGCGGCGUGCUUAACACAUGCAAGUCGAACGGUGAAGCAGGAGCUUGCUCUUGUGGAUCAGUGGCGAACGGGUGAGUAACACGUGAGCAACCUGCCCCUGACUCUGGGAUAAGCGCUGGAAACGGCGUCUAAUACUGGAUAUGUGAUGUGACCGCAUGGUCUGCAUCUGGAAAGAAUUUCGGUUGGGUGUGGGCUCGCGGCCUAUCAGCUUGUUGGUGAGGUAAUGGCUCACCAAGGCGUCGACGGGUAGCCGGCAUGAGAGGGUGAACGGCCACACUGGGACUAGGACACGGCCCAGACUACUACGGGAGGCAGCAGUGGGGAAUGUUGCACAAUGGGCGGAAGCCUGAUGCAGCAACGCCGCGUGAGGGAUGACGGCCUUCGGGUUGUAAACCUCUUUUAGCAGGGAAGAAGCGAAAGUGACGGUACCUGCAGAAAAAACACCGGCUAACUACGUGCCAGCCGCCGCCGUAA